This 465-nucleotide ribosomal RNA is filed under the name uncultured bacterium. RNAcentral describes it as "partial 16S ribosomal RNA". It matches the Rfam family "Bacterial small subunit ribosomal RNA", at positions 28 to 507 of the family's 1533-position model. The record is from RNAcentral.
GACGAACGCUGGCGGCGUGCUUAACACAUGCAAGUCGAACGGAAAGGCCCCUUUGGGGGUACUCGAGUGGCGAACGGGGGAGGAACACGUGAGUAACCUGCCCUUGACUUCGGGAUAACUUCAGGAAACUGGGGCUAAUACCGGAAAGGAAUCCUUGCUGCAUGGUGGGGGUUGGAAAGCUUCGGCGGGUUUGGAUGGACUCGCGGCUUAUCAGCUUGUUGGUGGGGUAGUGGCUUACCAAGGCUUUGACGGGUAGCCGGCCUGAGAGGGCGACCGGCCACCUUGGGACUGAGAUACGGCCCCGACUCCUACGGGAGGCAGCAGUGGGGAAUAUUGCACAAUGGGCGGCAGCCUGAUGCAGCAACGCCGCGUGCGGGAUGACGGCCUUCGGGUUGUAAACCGCUUUCAGCAGGGGCGAAGCUUGUGGUGACGGUACCUGCAGAAGAAGCACCGGCUAACUACGUG